Molecule: ribosomal RNA, 701 nt
Filed under: Inocybe phaeoleuca
Lineage: Eukaryota; Fungi; Basidiomycota; Agaricomycetes; Agaricales; Inocybaceae
Description: 16S ribosomal RNA
Rfam family: Bacterial small subunit ribosomal RNA
Source: RNAcentral
GAAGAGUGAGCUAGCUANCUGAAAACACAAAAUCACAAAAUGUGCUUAUNGUGAUAACGUAAGGGAAAAAAAUGAUAUUACCUUACUAUAAGUGUUGUCUAAAUAACUGGUGCCAGAAGACUCGGUAACACCAGAAACGCGAACGUUAGUCGUCUUAAACAGGCGUAAAGGGUAAGUAGGCCGCUUUAAAGUCUAUUUUUAAAUAAGCUAAUUAAUAAUUUUCCUCCCCUAGCUUACUAGACCUAAGGUGCUUCGCACUAAGAAGGAUUUAGCUUUAGUUUUAUCUUUAUUAAUUUAAAAUAAAAUUAAAGAUUUGUCCAUCUCGCUAGUUCGAAGGACUCCGCUAGGGAGGGACCGGAAAAAAAAAUUUUUUUUAAUCUGAAAUACCUGAAUUUAUAAUUUAAGGCUAACUUAAAAAUGAAAAAGGGUAUUAUUAGGAAUCGCAGCCUAAAUUAUAUCAAUUAUUAAUGGAACAAAAAAUAGAUACACUUAAAGCUAGAAUCAUAAUUGAGAUAAACCAAAUAAUGCUUAUGUGUAAGGGCGAUAUCUGUUAAAUACUAAGUAGAAAUACUACCGGUGAAAACUUUUUAUCUGGUAAUGAUUGACGCUGAGGUACGAAAGUGAGAACAGGGAAUAGGAUUAGAUACCCAGUUACCUCUCACCGUCAACGAUGAAUGGUAGUGUUAGUUUAUUUNAAUUAG